UACAGAGGGGGCAAGCGUUGUUCGGAAUUACUGGGCGUAAAGGGCGCGUAGGCGGCCCGCUAAGUCGAACGUGAAAUCCCCGAGCUCAACUCGGGAACUGCGUCCGAUACUGGUGGGCUUGAAUCCGGGAGAGGGAUGCGGAAUUCCAGGUGUAGCGGUGAAAUGCGUAGAUAUCUGGAGGAACACCGAUGGCGAAGGCAGGUCUCUGGGCAUUAACUGACGCUGAGGAGCGAAAGCAUGGGGAGCGAACAGG
This 253-nucleotide ribosomal RNA is filed under the name uncultured bacterium. RNAcentral describes it as "partial 16S ribosomal RNA". It matches the Rfam family "Bacterial small subunit ribosomal RNA", at positions 524 to 776 of the family's 1533-position model. The record is from RNAcentral.